AUUGAGCGCUGGCGGCAUGCUUUACACAUGCAAGUCGAACGGCAGCGCGGGCUUCGGCCUGGCGGCGAGUGGCGAACGGGUGAGUAAUGCAUCGGAACGUGCCCAGUAGUGGGGGAUAGCCCGGCGAAAGCCGGAUUAAUACCGCAUACGACCUGAGGGUGAAAGCGGGGGACCGAAAGGCCUCGCGCUAUUGGAGCGGCCGAUGUCGGAUUAGCUAGUUGGUGGGGUAAAGGCUUACCAAGGCGACGAUCCGUAGCUGGUCAGAGAGGACGACCAGCCACACUGGGACUGAGACACGGCCCAGACUCCUACGGGAGGCAGUAGUGGGGAAUUUUGGACAAUGGGGGCAACCCUGAUCCAGCCAUGCCGCGUGCGGGAAGAAGGCCUUCGGGUUGUAAACCGCUUUUGUUCGGGAAGAAAUCCUCUGGGCUAAUACCCCGGGGGGAUGACGGUACCGGAAGAAUAAGCACCGGCUAACUACGUG
Molecule: ribosomal RNA, 484 nt
Filed under: uncultured bacterium
Lineage: Bacteria
Description: partial 16S ribosomal RNA
Rfam family: Bacterial small subunit ribosomal RNA
Source: RNAcentral